Molecule: long non-coding RNA, 295 nt
Organism: Acipenser ruthenus (sterlet)
Lineage: Eukaryota; Metazoa; Chordata; Actinopteri; Acipenseriformes; Acipenseridae
Exons: 3
Source: RefSeq, a predicted model, not a curated record
AGACUGUCAUUUUCAGUGCUUUGAGAGGUGCAAGAUUAAAUACUGGAGCUGAUUACACUGAACUAAUCAGCUUGCUCAUUGAGGAAAACACCGUGCUCUUACUAAACAGAAACAAGGAGCUGCAGAAGCAUAACCUUUUGAAGAAAAGUAAAGUGACUGACAGAGGUGUGGUGAAGCUGUUUAUCUGUGGACACAGCAGAGUGGGGAAGACAACCCUGACACACACACUGCAGCAGGAAGGAUUUUUGUCACAGCUCCAGUAUUGUUUUUUUUGCUCAACCUCCCUCUACCCAAG